UUCCAAUUACUAACAACAGUAAUGGCAUUAAUAUUGGGCUAGACCAUAACCCACAUUGGUCCACAGCAGACUGUGAGUCGCCCGGGUUUAUUCACACUCGUCUAGCAAAGGGAAACGAGAGUUUCAAUAACAUAUGGUACAGAGGUAACAUUAUUUCUGUCUAAUACACAUGGCUAAGCCUCAUAAGAACAAGUUCAGAUCAUAAUUGGUUGGUAUCCAUCUUCGUACUUAUUCCUACGCCUGUAACCCACAGCGGCAGCAAUGACAGCAACUCCGGCUAAAACAAAUGCUCCCCAAACAAAAGCAGAAUGGUUUAUAUCACUGUCCAUCUGCAAAAACCAGGCAGUUAUCACUUAUCAGAUGCUUGGUGUUUCUUGUUAAAAUCACGAAGAGGAUUAUAGUUCUAUUAUCGCCUAAGAAUCAUAUUAAACAGUUUCUACUCCCGCAAAUAAUAAUCUUCUCAUCAACACUAAUCAAACGACUGUCUAUAAUCCAUUCUCUAUACCAUUUCGAUAAUCUAAGAGGCAAGACAAUAUUCCUACUCAAUUCUAGAAUAAGUUUUUUGUAUCUGCCGUAUUUUUGCAUGUGCUCACAAGCAUAAUAACUUGUAUUGCUGAACUCACUAUCUAAAAAUAUGAAAAGGGAAUCUUACCUUGUUGAAAACAUCUAAGAAUGAACUGGACUCGGGCACCCUGUCUGCAACCAAAAUGUAGAAAAGCCCCAUGACUCCUGUGUGUUCGCGGGAGCUACUAUAGCUAGAUUCCACAAUCAGAGUUUCCCCAUCUGUUAUCCUGAGGGAGCCUGGUUUAGGAUAACAGGUCGAC
This 824-nucleotide long non-coding RNA is filed under the name Citrus sinensis (sweet orange). RNAcentral's name for it is "long non-coding RNA (CSIN_LNC003042)". The record is from RNAcentral. Lineage: Eukaryota; Viridiplantae; Streptophyta; Magnoliopsida; Sapindales; Rutaceae.